Long non-coding RNA from Mytilus californianus (California mussel), 1077 nucleotides. RefSeq lists it as uncharacterized. Lineage: Eukaryota; Metazoa; Mollusca; Bivalvia; Mytilida; Mytilidae. The record is from RefSeq and is a predicted model, not a curated record. The transcript has 3 exons.
UAAUUAAAUCAGCGAAAUGAUUCUCUAUGGAAAUAUGUCUGUGUAUUUACUAGUGUUUUUUAUCUCUGAAUUUAACGACGGACCUGUUAGUAUUGAAGAUAAACGAAAAAAAUGUUGACGGGCGAGAAUUAUAUGCCUAAGAUUUUGCCGCCAAAUUGGACAUAAGAAAUAACAGGACCGCCAUUUUAUGCAGUAUAAAACCUUAAUGGAGUUCGACCAUGUAACUGAAUAACAGACAUAGUGGUUAAAAGACAAUGUUAAUGCAGAGUCAUUCGAUUUAAAAAAAAAGAUUAAAAUACAUUGUAUAUAAGAAAACUGAUUAUAAUCACAAUAAAAAAACAUAAAAAUAGAGGGAUGUCUCAAAAGGCAUCAACUGCUAAAAACUGGUCCUUAAAAGAAAAGACGUGAUUUGUUGGAUAACGUUAUGUCAUGUUCGACUAUAUAUGUGAACUAUUUGCACAGUAUAAUCAGAACCUGAACAAGUACCCACAGAUCAACAGUACCUAAGUUGCCUACCACAUGUGAAUUUAGAACAUUGAGACUUGGAAGAAAAUACAGAAAAGAAUUUUAAAAAGUGGAUGCAUUUACUCCUAUAAAACAAACAAUAUCAAACAUAUGGAGCCGAUCAGUUAUAAUUGUUUAUGAUUAAAAAGUACCAACAUGAAUAUUGGAAUAUACAAUGCUAAAUAACGUGACCAUGCUGUUCUUCUUUUUGUUUCUAAAAGUAUACCAAAUUAGUUAUGAAAAAAAUAAAAGUACAUUAUCUGGAGUGCAGUUAUGAUUUAUUUCAUGCUGUAUGUUAUGAACUUUGUUGCAAACGUUUUUUGGUCGUACAAAUCACGCCGACAAACACUAGAGCAUAAAGUAAUCAUUUUGUCCGUCAGUGUACCCGAAACAAAAGGUUUACAGAUAAUUUCUAGAGUUUCUCUUGCUAGAAAGGAAUAAUGUAUACAGAUGCUAGACAUAUGAUAGGAAAGUAGCCUAUUUAAUCAUUUGUGGUCAACAUUCCAAAUAUAUAGGUCAUUGUAACUAAGAAUAAAUUUUAUAAAAAAUGGUUGCUCAGUUGCAACUCUUGGA